GAUUAUUAUCAAACCGUUAUAUCUGUAUAACUUGAACAAGCCUCACAAGUCGUCCUUUGCAAAGCUCCAACACCUGCUUGUCGCAAAGUGGCACAUGCGCAACUCACAUCUGCACUUGACUCACAUUGGGUAG
This is a long non-coding RNA of Sander lucioperca (pikeperch), 133 nucleotides long. RefSeq lists it as uncharacterized. The transcript is spliced from 3 exons. The record is from RefSeq and is a predicted model, not a curated record. NCBI's taxonomy places the organism in Eukaryota, Metazoa, Chordata, Actinopteri, Perciformes, Percidae.